AAAUUUUGUAGCCUAUUUUUUUUCAUGUGUUAAGAGGAAAUGAAUUGAGUUCUUAUAUGACAAGGAAGAACCGUUCCGCGAACGAAUAUCAGAUACUGGAAGCAGUCGCUGACCUGGUUUUGAAUAAACUUCAUCUAUGAAUUCUGCAAUUACGAGCGAUCCUCCAAGAAGUCUGUCAUCUUUUUCGAUCACUGGAACCGUUCCGACUGGAUACUUUUCCAGAAACCAUGUUGGCUUAUUUCGGAGAAGAAUAUUAAUAACUUCAUGUCUGAAUAAGAUAAAGGCCGUGCAUGUAUAUACAGUACACAAAGAAGGGCCGGUAAUGCUCAUCAGAACACGCCGUUUUAUCAUCUAAAACUUGCAGUGUUAGUUUUCUUUCCUUUCUUUCAGUUAAUUUAUCAAUUACUGUAUUUUACUCUUGCACCCGACUCAAGUUGUGCUCAGACAUCUAUUUUAUAGCUCAAUUUCAAUUAAUCGUUGUUAAAUUACACCCAAAUUAAGGAUUUCUUCAAUUCAAGUACACUGCAUGAGAAAGUGUUAUGUCGUCACUCGUCAGUACAUAUACUGUAGCGAUUGUGGAUUGCAACUAUGGAUUAUGGAAGUUAUUUAACCCCUCAAUAUUAAUAGUAUGUUGAAUUCUAUGGAAAUAGGUCACUUGAGCUAUUUCCCUGAUUGAGAGAUAUCGCGGCAGCUCCAAGCACUAGCUUUGUGCAUAUAGCCUUCUUAGUACCGAUGA
Molecule: non-coding RNA, 736 nt
Organism: Styela clava
Lineage: Eukaryota; Metazoa; Chordata; Ascidiacea; Stolidobranchia; Styelidae
Source: RefSeq, a predicted model, not a curated record